RNAcentral lists this long non-coding RNA (34246 nucleotides) under Theobroma cacao (cacao). Its description in RNAcentral is "long non-coding RNA (TCAC_LNC006075)". The record is from RNAcentral. Lineage: Eukaryota; Viridiplantae; Streptophyta; Magnoliopsida; Malvales; Malvaceae.
CAAAGGGAGCUAUGACUGCAGUUGCAAAAGCAUGCCGGUAGACCACCAGGACAUAGUGGCUCAUGCCUCUGUUAAGUGAAACUUUGGUGAUAAUAUUCAUGCCCGCAUAGCCGAACUGCAAUGAAAUCAUUGCAAAGUAAGGUUUGGAGCUCUCCAGGAAGCUACCACAUCUCAACUUCUCCAUUUUUCUUAACUAUUUGGGAGAAAUUUGAUGGAAAAUUCGGAAAAGAGAGAGUUUCAGUUCUGAGAAGAAAGAAAUCUAGAGGAAAAGAGAGAGGAAGAAUUGAACACCCUGAGAACAAGUGUUUGUGUUUCUCCCUAAAGGAGAAGGCGAGGAAGGGACACAUAUUUAUAUUGGUUUGGAGUGAACUGUCCAUGUCUCAGGCAUGUGGGUGCAUCUGUCAAUAUGUUACUUUACUAUACGAAAAUUUAUCUGAAAAAAGCUAGGUAAGGGAAAAUAUUACAAAGUUUUUAAACUCCUACCAUAUGAUAAAACAUCGUUUACUCUACACUAUUCUAUCAAAGACCUCUUUCAGUCCCUUACUCUCAACUGCAGCAAAUCAAAUCAUUCUAUUAGCCAAGUUUAGCAAGCCUAUAUACUUUACUAAUUACUGCUUUCAUCACAAUUUUUUAUCUUUAGAAUUAAAAUUUACAAAUAAAUUUCAUUUGUAGACUACUUAGGAAUAUUUCAUUUUUAUUAUUUACCUCAUCCGCAUUUAAAAAUUUUUUUUUUUCUCAAAUUCGACAUUCUCUCAAUAAAUUCUUGAAUAUUAAUGAAAUUUUAUCACGUCAAUGUCACGCAUAUUAAUGUAAAAAUUUUAGAUAAAAACGAAAAUAAAGUAUUUAAAAAAAGUCAUAAAUAAAAUAUAAUUAUUGAAUAUUAUAUCAUUGAUAAAUGAUUAUAAAUUAUUCAACUCUUAAUGAUGUAUAUGACAUACCAAAUAAUUGAAUCAAUAGUUGACGUGUGAGGCAGGAUUUGAUGCGGUGACAUAAAACCGAGUGAGUUCAUGGAAAGUUAUUCUUUAUGAUUAUCCAUAUUAUAUGCUAUGCUCAAUAUGCAAGAGAAAUAGAGGGUUUGGCAUUUUAAUUAUAUAUAAAAUUAUUAAUUAAUUUGUAUUUUUUUUCUAAAAGCAAGAAAGAGAGGUGGAUAACACGUGGCAAAUAGUGGUGGGGUAUCUGAGUCACUUUCUGCAUGGUUUAGUGUAGGUGAGGUAAGCUUAAAGUGACACUCUAUAGCUAUAUUAUAUCGUACUUUUUUGUUUAUUUGUAUUUUGAGAGAGAGAGAAUCAUGAUCUUGAAAUUAGGCAAAACAUAUAUUCUAGCAUCUCUUACAUUCUCUAUAGUGUUGAUUAUUCACCUAACAUGGCGUCUAAAUGUUGUGGAACAAGAUUUGGCCGUCAUGCCAUCCUCAAUUUCUUUCCAACAUGUAAAACUCUGCCAUGCAUAAAUUUUCAAUUAAUCAUCUACACACUCCAAUUUAUCCAAAUCUUUUAACGAAAUAAUAUGUCUAAUUUAAUUAAUUAUUUGAUCAAUCACGUCUAGACAAAAACCAUUAAUAAUGACUCCUUUUCAUAUCGAGCGGUCAAAUUUUUUGACUCGUACAUUGUUUUCUCGUAGCAUCUGAAUUUUUGAUAUAAAAUAUAUCUUGAUGACAAAGUAAAAAGAAAAGAAGAUACUUUCUUUGAACUUGACAUUAGAAUCUCCCGCUUUCUUUCACUCAUGCUGAUGUUUUAUAUUAAAAAAAGAAAUUGUAAAGCUAUAUUUUCUAAAUUUAAUAAUCAAUUUUUUCAUCUUAAAAGCUUACGGAUAUAUUCAUAUUUUAAAAUUUUUGACAAAAAGUAUUUUAGUUAAAUAUAAGUUAACGUUUCUUAACUCGUGAUUAAUUCAAUCAUUGAACAUUACACGUUGAUAUAUCGUAACAAAUUAAAAGACUUUAGAUUUUGCAAAUGGAAGAAGAUUGAGUAAUGAUGAAGAAAAUCUUUUUUUUUUUAUCUUAAGAAUUAUGAAGGAUUUUAUUCCAAAUAAAGAUUGGGGGAAGAAAGAGUGAUGUGUGGGGGUAGGGAAAAAAACAAAGAACAAAGAGGGGGGCCUAAAAGAGUGAAGGAAAAAAAAAAAAGGAAAGGAGUUUGCGUAGAAGACGGGACCUUUAGCGAUUUGGAUAAUUUGUAGUUGAAACUGACUCGGCGCAAGAGUGAAGCAGCAAUAACCAUCCUCUUUCUCACGCCUACACCAUUUCCUGUCUUUGGAUUAUUUUUUCUAGCUUUGUCUCAGCUGUUCGCUUCGUGCUCUUUGACCCUUUGUCCCAAUACCCAACGCAACUAGUUUCCUAACACUGUAGCUAGACAUGGAGUCACUGUUCCAAGUUACAAAGAUUAUAGCCUAGGUACUUUCUGUUUUAUUGAUGCCCUACAAGAGGAUUUAUUAAUGAAUUUUUUCCCUAUAUGUGACAGUUAAUAGGCUUGUGUUAUGUGCUCAUGCAAUUUUAAACUCUGAAAAUAAAAUUUAAGUAAACAUAAAAAAAGAAAUUUAUAUUUUUUAAAUUUAAACCUAAACUCGUGUAGUUUUAAACUUUAAAAAUAAAUAUUAAAUAAACUUAAAAACUCAAAAAAGCAAAAGCACAAGAAAGGAAGAAAUGAGAAAACUUUUUAGAGAAACAUAAUACUUUGUAUUUUUCAACAUUUAAGAUGGUAUGAGAUUGGGCUUAAGUUCCGAAACAUAAAAAUUGAGCUACACAAAGGGAUGGACCCCAUGACUUCACAAGUUCAGCCUCCUUUUCACAAUACUUUGGGGAUUUUUCUUUAUUGGUAAAUAAUUUAUAGAUUUCCUUUGCUACUUGACUGAUUGCAGCUUUUGUAAAAGGAGGUUGGAGUUGCUUGGUUGAGGGGAUUCCACUAAUGUCCCUCUUGAUCUGCCGCUAAUGGCAUUGGCAGAUGGAGCUAGGAAAAUGCUCGACCUAGAGAUUCCAUGAAAUAGGCAGUUAAUUAUUAUUUUCCAUGACAAAAUUACUAAUUGUAUUGCAUAGUUAGAGAUUGAUAUCGGAUCCGUGAGUAUGAAUUUAAACACCCCCCUUUUGAAAACUUUGGCUUCAAUAUUCUUAAUAAAUUUGAAAUUAAAUAUAAAUUUAGAUUGCCACUUGACUUCAACGUGAACAUAACAAGGGAUGAACAAAGCCAGUUGUCAUUAGGAGUGUGCAGUGGUCAGUUGCAAUUGAGCAACCGACCGCAGCCGUCAAUUGUUGCAACUCACGGUUUGGCUCAACGGGUUGCAACGAUCGGCCUCGUUGGUCGAUCGGUUCGGUCAUCAGAGGGGAUGAACUGAUCAAGAAACUGAUCAAUUAAAAUUAUUGGUAAUAUGCUAGAAUUAAUGUUAAGAAUUAUGUUUGGAAAUUUUGUUGAGAAUUAUUGUUUGGAUUUUCAAUUAAAAUGAUUGGCAAUAUGCUUGAAUUAAACAUUAAGAAUUAUGUUUGGGAAUUAUGUUGAGAAUUAUUGUUUGGAUUUUCAAUUAAAAUGAUUAGCAAUAUGCUAGAAUUAAACAUUAAGAAUUAUGUUUGGGAAUUAGGUUGAGAAUUAUUGUUUGGAUUUUCAAUUAAAAUGAUUGGUAAUAUGCUAGAACUAAACAUUAAAAAUUAUGUUUAGGAAUUAAUGUUUAGAAUUAUUGUUUGAAUUUUCAAUUAAAAUAAUUGGCAAUAUGUUAGAAUUAAACAUUAAGAAUUAUGUUUGAGAAUUAAUGUUUAGAAUUAUUAUUUGGAUUUUCAAUUACAAUGAUUGGCAAUAUGCUAGAAUUAAUGAUUGGAAUUAAUAUUUGGGUAUUUUUUUUUUUGUAGAUGUCAACUAAUGAGGAAACAAAUUUGGCAACUAGUGAGACGCCAAUAUCAACAUCAACAUCAACACCAUCAAAAUUUAAAUCCCAUGUUAUUGCUAGUUCUACUGAAGCCAACAAAACAUGUGAGGUUGUAAGCAAAAUGUGGAAGUAAAGGGAACCACCUCAAUCUACAUCGGUUGUGUGAGAUCACUUCACUAAAUGUGUUGAUUAGAAAGAUAAUAAGACGACUAAAUGUUCUCAUUGUGGUAAAGAAUUUUUGUUGAUAUAAAAAAAUGGAACAUCUUCAUUGAAUAAUCAUAUUAAAGUUUGUUCGAAGUUGAAAUUGGUUCAUGAUAGUGAGGAGAACAAGUAAAUGGAAUUAGUUUUUAGUUCGAGAGGAGAUGAGCUAGGUAGUUGGAAGUUUGAUCAAGAGACAAUUAGGAGAAGUUUAGCUAAGAUGAUCAUUUAGGAUAAAUUGCCUUUUAAGUUUGUGGAAAGUGAAUGAUAUAGGAAACAGAUAAACAAAGUAUGUCAUAGAUUUUGUAUACCAUCACAAUGGAUUGUUGCUAGGGAUUGUUAUAAAAUUUAUAUUAAUAAAAAAAACUCAGAUGAGAAGAUUGUUAAGAUCAUGUCCUAGUAGAAUGCGUCUCACCACUAACACAUGGACUUCAAUACAAAGAAUUAAUUAUAUGUGUUUAACUGUCCAUUUUAUUGAUAAUGAUUGGAAGUUGUAAAAAAAGAUUUUGAACUUUUGUCCCAUUACUAGUCAAAAAGAUGAGUCCAUUGGUCAAGCAAUUAGUAAAUGUUUGCUUGAUUAGGGGAUCCAAAAGAUUUUUUCUAUCACUGUUGAUAAUUCUAGUUUAAAUGAUGUUGCAAUAGGACAUUUGAAGAAAAUAAUUUAAUGUUGCUAGAACUAGUAUUUUAGGAGGUAGAGUUUUUCAUGUGAGAUGCAUUGCUCAUAUUGUAAUCUUAUGGUGUUUGAUAGAUUGAAGGAUAUCAAUAACUCAAUAGCUCGUGUUAGAGAUGCAAUGAGAUAUGUUAGACAAUCCCUUGCUAGAUUAGCCAAGUUUAAGGAGUGUGCUACUAGUGCGGUAGUUGAGAGCAAGUGUUUAUUGUGUUUGGAUGUGAGCACUAGAUGGAAUUCUAUUUUUUUGAUGUAGGGUACAACUUUGAAAUUUCAAAGGGCUUUUGCAUCAUUUGAGUUGUGUGAAAAUAGCUACAUACAUGAGCUAAUAAGGUUGGGAGAUAGCGUGCUCGAUGAUAGAGAUUGAGCAAAUAUGAGGAGGAUUUCUCAUUUCUUGAGAGAAUUUUAUAAUUUGACCUUGAGUGUUUUAGGCACAUUUUAAUAACUGCUAAUUCUUUACUAGAUUCCAUUUUUAAUGUGUAUACCACUUUGAUUGAAUGGCAAAAUGGUGAUGAUGUUGAUUUAUGGUCUAUGCCAAUUAAAAUGAAAGAGAAAUUUGACAAGUAUCGGGGGAAUGAGGACAAAAUGAAUUUAGUGUUGUUCAUUGUCAUUAUACUUGAUCUGAGGAAAAAGCUUUCUUAUGUUGAAUUCACUUUGCUAGAAAUGUAUCCUCCCACACAAGCCUCAAUGAUGUUUUUUUGGGUGACACAAACAAUGGAUGAGUUGUUCGUUGUUAUAGAAAUAUGUCACAAUCUUUAUCUCAUGUUGGUUAAAGAGGUUAAGAGUGUCCAACACCCAUCGGACAAGGCACUAGUGAUAUUUGUAGUAAUAGCGUUGCUUCAAUUUUGAUUGGCAAUGACAUAAAACAUACUAAAAAAAGAUUGGAUAGGUUCAAGAAGCACCGGUUAAACACUAGGCCAAAAGAGCUGAAAACGGAAUUGGAGAAAUAUUUAUUUGAGCCUGUAGAUGAUGAGGGUUUCAAUGAUGAUGAGUUUGAUGUUCUCAUGUGGUGGAAACUCAAUCAAUUUAGGUUUUCUAUGCUUGUCGCUAUCAUUUGUGAUGUUUUGACUGUUCCCAUAUCAACAGUUGCUUCAGAGUUCACUUUUAGUACUAGUGGACUUUUGCUUGAUGCAUAUAGGAGUUCUUUGACUCCUAAGGUAGUGCAAGCACUUAUUUGUGCUCAAGAUUAGUUACAUGGAUUGGCAUGUGGUGAUUCAGAUUUGAUUAAGGAUGAUUUGGACGAGCUCGACAAACUUGAUUUUGGUAAUUAUUUUAUAAUUUUAUUUGUAAUUUAAUUUAUUAGAUUUGUCAAAGAUCAAUUUACUAUAUUUGUUAUUUUAUUUUUAGUUUUGUCUAAUAUUGCAUUGGAGACAAUAGCUGAGUUUGAGCCUGAGUCAGACUAACGUGUUAUUUCCAUUAGCUAUUUGCACUUUUCAAGUAAUGUUAUCAUUAGGUACUAUGCAAUAUUUACAUUAGAAUUAUAAUUCAUUUAGGUUAUCUUACCACAAUAAUAUACACUAUUUAUAUAUUUGUUUUUAACCUUUUUAGAAGCAUGUUUUGCAAAAUUGUUGAAUUGGAGUUGGAGGUCCAUCUUUUAAAAUUUAGUGAUUUAUGUUAUGAAACUUUGAGUUAUGUAACUUCUAAUCCAAAAUUAAAGUCAUAAAGGAUAUCUCUUCUUUGUUUAUUUAUUGUAUGAUGAUUAAUGAUGAUUUCUUUGUGAUCAUAUUUAAUUAAUUGGCUUAAACUUAUAAAACUUUUGAAACUAAUGUUUAUUUAUUAUAUAAAGAUUAAUGUUUAUUUAUUGAAUGAAGAUUAAUAUUAUUAACCAUUUGAAAGAAAUAAAUAGGUCCAAAGGAUUACAUAUAAAUAAAUGGACCCAGAGUGGCAAUUUACAAGGGGUUUUGUAAAAAAGCUUAAGUCAAACAAAAAAAAAAUGCCAUUUACAAAGGGUAACACAAAAAAAAGCUCAAGUCAACCCAUUUCAAAAACUGACUUAAGAUCGACUGAACUAAGGUCAGUUUUAACCAACCGAAACUAAGUUCUUGCAUGGUUUGGUUAGGUUGGUUUAUAGAACAAAUUUCUUAGUCGAUUUUUAUCAAAACCGAAUCAAAAAUUGACUAAACAGAACCAAGCUCAUCCCUAGUUGUCUCGUAGUUUUUACUAGUUUUACAAAUUUGUAUUUCUAAUUAAUUGAUGUUUUGCAUAAUAUUUACAUCAUUUUGCUCAAAAUUCAAAUAUUGAGGACAUAUAGUCAAUAAAUGAAAUCACUUGGGUUAAGGUUUUGACUAAAGAGAUCUUGAUAUUGAGCUAUAAUAUCUUCUCUUAUUAACAAGGAAAAAAAGAAAACUAAAAAUAAUUUCCCAUCUAUUCUAUUAGUUUUUCUUUUUAAAUUUUUUAAUAUAUAUAUGAAAUCAAAGAUUGCAUGUAAGAUUUUUAAAAGGGUAUUUUUUAAAGUUUUUCUUUCAGUAAAUGUCAAUAGCACGUGGCUUCCCCCCAUUGGUCUUAGUUGCCCACUUACCUCUUCAGUGGAGAGUCUUGAAAGUACUUUUGAUAUGGAGAUUGUUUGCCUAAGCUUGCUAAUGUUACAACUAAUACAAGCUUGAUUAGUACAUGUGGACAAAACUUUCAUAUCUUGUUUCCUUUUGCUUCGUUGUAUUGGUUGUUUUGAUGCACCUUUGUUUAAGCUUUUUUUUUUAUGCUGGAAAUUCUCGCAGGGCUCAGCUACCCUGUAAUCGUUUUAUUAAGAAUCGAAAAAAUUAAGUACAAUGGAGAGGGGGACAUAAAUCGAACCUCCAAAGUUACAUGAGUUCGAGAAAGAUAAAAAAAGGUACUUGAAAUGGAAAAUUUCAUUUUAUGUGCAUAUUUUUGAAUGCUAUUAUAAAAUUGAAACUUUUCCAUAUUACAAGAAUCUAAGUAAUAAAAAUAACAGAAAUAAAUUAGGAGUUCUACUCCUUUACAUUUAUUUAAAAUGAACAUAUGGUAAAUUCAUUUUAUCUAAUUUAAUUAUACCUCUGAGCUGACCUUCUGCUUGUGAAAAUACCUGUAGGUUAUAGUGCGUAUGCCCCUGAUUUAAGAUAUGAUCUGCAGCCUGGAUCCCUUCUUUAUGGAUGUGUGAAAUACGAAAAGACAUACCACUCAAGCAUCUAUGGAUGAAAGCUAGCAAAUACCGAGUCUUGGAAGAACCCUGAUGGUCCUCUUGUAUCAUUUGUACCAUAACUUUUACAUCCAUUUCUAUCCAAAGUCUAGUAACAUUAUACUCAAUGCAUAAAAGCAAACCCCUUAUGUAGUGCCAUUAACUCUGCCUGUAAUGAAUUAUAAGGUUCACAAUUUUCAGAAAAUCCAAAAAUCAUGGUACUUGUAUGAUCCCAAAGAAGUCUUCCUCCAACAGCAUUCUGAAAAUUAUCCUUGGAACUACUAUUAACAUUUAACUUAAACUCACCUGCUAAUGGUUUGUGCCAAGAAAAUAUUUUUGGUGGAUGUGGUGAUGCUUGUUGAAAUAUUAGACCCCAUGCUUGAGCAAUUUGUAAAUCACCCUUCCAUUGCCAACGAUGGAAUUGCCUCUCCUGGAAUAGUUGCUGGAUGAGUUUUAAAACUCUCCACACCACUCUAUUGGAAUACAUACCAAGGUUCCUAUGCUUCGCAUCAUUUUGUUCAACCCAUAUAAACCAAAAAAUAAAUAAAGGCAUUAACGUGCGGAUGUGCCCUUUUUUCGUAUAAUCACCAAAGUACAACCAUGCCCAUAUAAUCUGAUAAACAUUCUGGGGGUGAGUAAUGUAGCUUUGGAAGAAUUUUGUAAAAUAAUUCCAAACUUGUGUAGCUACAGGACCUUCCCAGAUGACAUGCAAGAGAGACUCCUCUGAGUUGCAAUGUUGGCAUUUAGAAGCCAACUGGAAACCCUUGGUUUUCAACCUCAAAUUGACUGGAAUCCAAUUUUGUAACAACCUCCAUAGAAAGAAAGAAGUGGUAAGAGGAGUGCUUUUAUGCCAAAUUAAAUUGAACACAGGAUUUACUAACUGUUGUUGUCAAAUUAUCUCCCAAGCAGACUUAGUAGUGAAUUGCCCAUCCAAAGUAGGUGCCCAAUAUGCCAUAUCUAUAUUGGAUGGAUCUAUCGGGAUUUUUAGGAUUUUCGCCACAACCUCUUCCGGCAACACAUUAUUCAACUUACCCACAUCCCAUGUGCCAUUAUCAUAGAAGUAGCAGACUCUUGUCAUAGAUGAUGCAAAGGAUAGAAAACGAUUAACUAGGGGUGCUUCACCCAUCCAACAAUCAUGCCAAAAAAAUAACUAACCCUUUCCAAUCCGCCACCUAAUGUGUUGUUCUGUAACCGGGUAGCUAGCUAACAUCCGUUUCCAUGUCUGUGAAUCAUGAAGUUUCUGCUGCUUCAUAUGUUAAUCAUGCACCUUUGUUUAAGCUUGAUAUGUUAUGCUGUUUUACAAGUGUUAAUCGUGCACUCAUUGUAUUUAUGGAUAUUAACUUCUUUUUUUAAUAUCAUAAAAGCUCUGCUUUGCUUGUUUUAGUUUUGUACAUUGGUAAAACUAUGAUCUUUAUUGUUUUUCUUUCAGCCAUAACAUGGUAUCAAAUCAUUUAUGUUAUGGUACCAGUAAAAGAAGCAUUUGACACACUUCCAGAAGAAUUCCAAAGGUCAAAUAAUACAAGGCAGUUGUAAGUAUUUAACCUCAUGAAGGAGUUUAAAAUUCUCCGAAUGAAAGAUUCUGAGAUAGUAAAAGAUUACAUAAAUAAAGUAACCAAAAUUGUAAACCAAGCAAGGUUGCUGGGACAAAAGAGUACUAGAGAUUCAAGUUGUGCAAUAGGUGCUUAUUUCUUUACCAUAGAGGUUUGAAACCACAAUUUCCUAACUAGAAGUGUCAAAAAACCUAGCUAAGCUCACUUUAAAUGAUGUUAUCAAUGCACUUUAAGCUACAGAUCAGAGAAGAGCUAUGAGGUUAAGUAGCAGUUUUAAAAGUGCAAUGAUAACAAGGCAUAAAGCCAAGACAGUUGGUGACUUAAAGUAGAGAAAGAUGUCAUCUGAUCAGAAAGAAAAAGAACAAAAAAGCUUUCAAGGGAGUAAGCCUCAAAAUAAGGGCGAUAAAUUCCACCAUGCAGCUUUUGUAAAAAAAGAAAUUAUGUAGAAGUAAAUUGCUAGUUCAAACUAAAUGUUAAAUGUAGGAUUUGUAAUCAGCAAAGGCAAAUAGAUAGGAUAUGCAAGAACAAGUCACAGUUACAAGAAAAUAAUCCUUAGACAACAACACAGGAAGCUGACAAGGCAAUGGUAACAGAAAAUGUACUUUUUAGGACUUUAACAAAGUCAAUUUUUGAGAUUUAAGGUCAAUGGUUCCUUGAUAGUGCAUGCAGUAACCAUACGAUUCCUAAAGCUAAAAUGUUUGCUUACUUUAAUACUAAUUACUACUCCAUUGUGGAAAUUGGUAAUGGAGUCUUGUUAAAGGUAGUUGGGAAAGGUAUUAUGGCCAUGAAAACUUCAUCAAGUUCUAGGUAUGUGCUUAAGGUCUUACUAGUUCCAGAAAUUUCUCAAAAUCUUUUAUAUGUUGGUCAGUUAGUAAAUGAUAACUAUACUUUAUUGUUUAAAAAUCGUUCAUGCACUAUAUAUAGUCCUACUGGUGAAUGUUUAAUUAUAGUGGCUAUGAAAAAGAAAUGAUUUCUUAUUGAUUCGAAUAAUAUUUGUUUGACUGCAUUUGAAGAUUCAUCUUGUUAAAUAUCAUUGUGGCAUAAAAGGCCAGGCCACUACUAUUACAAGUUACUUCUACAGGCUAACUCUUCUAGUAUGCUAGAAACUUUACCAAAGCUGAAUUAAGCAAGACUUGUGUGCAGUACAUGAGUUAAACAGAAAACCUUUCCCUUAUCCAAGCAUGAAUAGAGUAGUUAAUAAACUUGAUCUUGUAUAUACAAAUGUUGUAAGGCCAAUAAGUGAACCAUUUUUAAAUGGAAGUAAAUAUUUAAAUGGAAGUAAAUAUUUCUUGCUUUUUAUCGAAGAACUGACCAAAAUGUGUUGGAUUUAUUUUCUUGUAUAGAAAUUUGAAGUUUUCAAUAACUUUUAGAAAUUUAAAACAAGUGUAGAGCUGCAAACAAGGAAAAAAAGUAAAGCAUUGAGAUAUGAUAAUGGCGGGGAAUAUACAACAACGGAGUUUACUCAGUUUCUUCAAAAUCAUGGCAUUGAUCACCAACUAAUUGCUUUCUAUACUCCACAUCAGAAUGAAGUAACUAAAAGAAAGAAUUGCAUAGCGAUUAAGAUGAUAAGGUGUCUGCUAUUUGGGAAAAGAGUCCCUAAAUCUUUCUGUGCAAAAACUACCAACAUAGCUAUUUAUCUGUUAAAUCUUUGCACUUAAGCCUUAAACAAUCUAACUCCUUGUGAGGCUUGGUUUGGGAAGAAACCUUCAAGUGAGCAUCUCAGAACAUUUGGAUGCAUCUGUUAUCAACAUGUACCAACUGAACUCAGAGAUACGUUGCAGCCAAAGGCAGUGAAAGGUAUACUUGUAAGCUAUAGUUCAAACUCUAAAGCUUACAAAAUAUACCAAAUUGAUAUUGGUAAGAUUACCAUUAAUAGAAAUGUCAUUUUUUAUGAAAAUUCAAGUUAGGAUUGGGAGAAUCACAACACUACCAGUGCUCUUAUUUUGAUGACAACAGCAGAUAGUUUGAUAACUCUUGCAGAUGAAACAGUAAACGACUUUCCUAUUAGAGGAAUUAUAAGCAUUAUUGAUGUAUACGAUAGAUGUCAAGUGGCACUAGCAAAACCUAAAAGUUAUGAAGAUGCUUCCCAACACAAAGAAUGGUUAACUAUUAUGAGAGAAAAAUUGAAAAUGAUUGAAUAGAAUCAUACUUGGUCUUUAAUGGAUAAACCAAAGCACCAUGUUCUUGGUGUUAAAUGGGAAUUCAAAAAUAAGUUUGAUUCAAAUGGUUCACUCAACAAAUACAGAGUGAGGAUAGUUGUUAAAGGCUUUGCUCAGAUUAUUGGAGUUGACUACCAGGAGACAUUUGUUCCAUUUGCCAAAAUGGAUACCAUUUACAUAUUAUUUGCUAUGUUUGUAACUUUUAAUUAGAAAGUCUUCCAUUUAGAUGUUAAGUUAGCUUUUCUAAAUGGAAGAUUGGAUGAAGAAAUUUAUGUUGAGCAACUAGUUGAGUUUGAAACUAAGCCUCAUUAGGACAAGGUACAUCGGUUUCAUGAGACACUAUAUGGCUUAAAAUAGGCUUUUCAAUCCUGGUACAACAGAGUUGAUGAAUAUCUAAAAAAUCAUCUUUUUCUUAAGGGUUAAAAUGAAGCUACGUUGUAUGUCCUAAAGAAAAACAAUCAAGCUGUAGUAAUAGUCUCAUUGUAUGUUGAUGAUAUGCUAAUGAUAAGAGAAAACAAUGAGGCCAUUAUGAAAUUCAAAGAUGCAAUGCAAUUGGUGUUCAAAAUGUCAGAUCUUGGUGAGGUUAGUUAUUUCUUGGCCUUCAGAUAACUUAAGACAACCAUGGCAUCUUUGUGUCAUAAAGAAACUAUGUGAAUGAUGUUUUGAAGAGGUUCAAGAUGAAUAAUUAUAAGGCAACAAUAACUCCACUUACAAAAAAUAAGAAGCUAUUUGUUAACUCUAAAGAGAAGCUUGAUAAUCUUUUAACUUACAGAAGUUAGAUUUGUUCACUUCUCUAUAUUUUUGGUACAUGGCUUGAGAUAAUGUUUUCAGCCAAUUAUUUGUCUUAGUUUAUGUAAGCACCAACACAAACACAUUACUCUGUUGCAAAGAGAAUCUUUGGAUAUUUGAAAGGGACAUCUGACUUUGGUCUUCACUUCACUUGUUUUGAUGGAAACUUAAAGAAGAAUUAACUUAGCAUAUAAGCCACACAUGCAAGAGAGCUAUACACACAUAGCCUACAUAAAUAGACAUGUAUUGGACAACCUAAAUGAAGAGAGUCAGAUAGCUACUAAGAAGAGUAGCAACUAAGUAAAGUAUUCUAAGGCAUUUAGAAUUCUUUCCAUAUUUAAAUUUUUCCUUACUUGUUGAUUGUUUUACUCGUACAAUAAGUAAGUUUAGUUUUUAAGAUAUUUAUUUUUACGUCAUUUACUUUACUUGCACUCUAAAGAAGUCUAGGAUUAGAAUACUUUCUUAUUUAAUUUACUUGCUUUACAAGUAAGUUUAAGAUGGGCUAUCUAUAAAUAGUCCCUUUAUGUUUCAUUGUAAAAUUGAACAGAGUAAUCAAACUAGUUGGAUUCUUUGACAGUGAUUGGGCAGGCUCUAUUGAUGAUGGUAAGAGCAUUUCUGGUUAUGUCUUUUCUUUAAAAAAUGGUUCUUUUUCUUGAAACUCGAAGAAACAAGACAUAGUAGCCCAGUAUUUUUCUGAGGCAUAAUAUGUUGUAGCAGUAAAAGUUGCAAAUCAAGCUAUAUAGGUGAAAAAAAUCUUGGUUGAUUUCUCAAUUCCUCAAACAUCAGCAACUCAACUGUUUAUGGAUAAUAAAUCCUCUUUUUUAAUGCCUAAGAAUCUUGUCUUUCACAACAAGACAAAGCAUAUUAGUGUGAAAUAUCAUGCAUUGAGAGAAGUCAAAAAGAAUAAAGAAAUCAACAUCCAGCAUUACUACUUCAGUGAACAAUUAGUAGACAUUAUAACAAAGUCUCUGCUUAAGCCCAGAUUUGAACAUCUUAAAAGUCUGCUUAAUGUUCAUCAAGCUAAUAUUAAGGAGGAGUGUUACAACUAAUACAAGUUUGAUCAAUACAUGUGGACAAAACUUUUAUAUCAUGUUCUUUUUUACUUCGUUGUAUUGGUCGUUUUGAUGCACCUUUGUUUAAGCUUGAUAUGUGUUAGCAUGCAUGCAAGCUUUAUGCUUAGAUUAACAUUUGUAUUUGUUAUGCUGUUUUGUAGGUGUUCAUCAUGCACUCAUUGUAUUUAUGCUUGUAACUUCUUCUUAGGCAAUGAGAUGAAUAUGUUUUCUUAAAAUUAGCUCCUUUCUUCAAUAUCAUAAAAGCUCUGUUUUGCUUGUUUUGGUAAGAAAGUGAUCUUUAUUGUUUUUCUUUCAACCAUAAUAGCCAAUAGUAUUGCAACCAACCUAUUCCACUUUUUCCAUAUUCAGUUGUAUUGUAACCUUUGAUUUACCAAACCUUGAGUUUUCAAUUACCUCCUCUCCUACCUAUUUCACAACCUCUUUAUCCUAUCUUUGUUUAGCAACUCCGCCCUUAGGUAAUUCUUGACUGCCCAAUAAUACUUCUUUGAAGGUUCCCGUGUCUUUCUUAGCUUCGCCAUAGCCUCUCGAACCAUCAUCCUUUGGAGUAUUUUUCCCCCUAGAGAUACACCUUUCAUUCUAAUCAAUAUAAACCUUAUGUAUGCUUAUGGCUUUACCUUUAAUCAUCCUCUUGUCUCCCCUUUCCACCAUGGCUCACAUUUUGGUCUCUUCUUUGUAUCUCAUGAAAACGAAGUUAGUGCUUCAUUUCCUCAUUCUUAAGUUAUUCCAUAAUAUGAACAAAUCCAUUACUUUUUUGAACUUGAAGAAUACCUCAUAAAGUUCUUCCUAGGUUACCUUCUUGCUUAAAUUUUAUAAAGGCCAUAUGCAGAUUUAAAACCAAAGUGCCGGUGAAAGCAAACCCUUUCUAUUUUCCUAUCGAUGUUUUCUUUUUCCUCUCUUCUCUCAUAUUUUUUAAUACGAACUAGUUUUUUUUACCUGUUAUAUCAUUUCAUUGACAAAAUAAGCAUAUGAUCAUUGUCUUCUACAUCAUUAUAGUUCUUUAACCCUUGAUUAGAGUGAAAAGAUAGAGCAAUAUUUUUUUUAUCUGCUUUCUACCUUUAUUUUUGGUUUUAAUCCAAGUUUCACUCAUCUUUACUGUCUUACCACUAUUGAAGAUACUAGCCUUAACUCUACUAUAGUAAACAUCAAGGCACAAUAUGGAUCAAAGAUGAUAAAGUCAACUAAUCUAGAACAAGUAAAUGAAGAUAAAGCUUAGCUUGAUCAAGUCAAUGUAGUUGGAUCUCAAGUCCAAGGCCACACAUUCUCUCUUUUGUAGAUUAAUGGAAAUGUUAUUAAAGUUAAUUUGCGUGAUUGAAAAAUGCUAGCUCAUGAUUAUGAAUGAGAUUAAGGGAGGUAUGUUUUAUAGAAUAAUGUUGUAGAGAUGUUAUAUAUAAUAAAAAAAUGAUCUCAUACAUCGUUAGUGAAGUUUUUAAAUUUCACCAACAAAGAUUAUAGGGUUACACAUAUUAUAUUCAAAUAUGUAAAAAAAUUAAUAAAUUAUUUGAUAAACAAAAGGAUGCAAGAUAAUAUUUUAAUAUCGUUUGGGAAAUUUAAACACUUCACCGAUUGUGUAUAGAAAAUAGUUCAUAUAUGAACCAUUAUUGGUCAAAUUAUACAAUUAGUCUCUAUACUCUAUCAAAAUGGUAGAUUUUGUCCUUAGACAAUAAUUUGUAAAAUUUAAGUCCUUAUACUUUCCAAAAUUGACAAUAUUAGUCUAAUAUGUUAAAAAUUUUCUAUUAUCUAUAUUGAUAUGGGGUUUGGUUGUGUUGACAUGACAUUUUCAUGUUGAUGUGACAUUGAAUUUGAUAACAUGGCAAUGAUAAUAUGGCAUUUCACGAAUGAUGCAAUAAUAGUGCUGAUAUGACGUGAUCAAUUACUAACAUGGAUUUUAUAAGUGUGCACAUGGAAUUAUCUAGUGUGAGUUAAUGGUCUUAAACAAGAUUAGAGAAAAUACAAAUCAAAAUUACGAAUAGGUUUUAGGAUUUAGGAAAAGAGUGUCAUGAGAUAGAGAAAUGUGAAAUCCCACCUUAAGCAAGUAGAUAAGUUAGGAAAUCCUUAGGUGAGCACAUCGAUUACAUGUUUUGACUAUCAAACUUAGUUUUGACUUUCAAAAGAACUCAUUGACACUUUUAGUUAUCUGUCACUUUUGAAGCUAAAAAUUUUCUAAGAUUGGAAAAUAUCAAAAUAUGUAAUUUUUAUAAAAUAAUUUUUUUGAAAUAAAAAAUAGCAGUAAUGAUUCCCUUGAUUUUUAGAUGACCAAAAAUGAUUUUUUUCAUAAUUUUUAGAAUAUGUUUGCUAUGCUAAAUGGGAAUCAUAAAUUUAAUUUCAGUCAAAUUUUUUUUAUUUUGUUCUUAAAAUCAAAAUUUAGAUUUUGAUUCUUUUGGAUUUUGAUAUUUUUAUUGAAUCCAAAUGGGGGGUUAUUGGCUUAUUUACAUUAAAUAUCUUAAGUAAAUGGAGAGUAAAAAAUAAAGAGGAUAUUUACUUAAAUGGUAUUUAAUGUAAAUAAGCUGGGUAGGUUUUAUAGGCAAACUGUCUUAAAAAAUUGCAUUAUUGAUACAUGUUCAUGAUGUAUCGAUACAUUUAGUCCAAAAAGUGUUUCGAUGAACAUGUAUCAAUACAUGCUCAUAAUGUAUCAAUACAUGGGUCAAUGUAUCGCUACAUUUCAUCGAUUUUUGAAAAAAUAAAAAGGGUAAAAGGGUAUUUUCACACCCCAUAGUAUAAAUAUAACCCCUAACCCGAGGGUUUUUUGUUUUAAGUUGCCUUCCAUCAAUUUUUCAGCAACUCUAAGCUCUUUCAAAUCCAUUUUCACCCCAAGUCAUCACUUUAGAAGAUUGAAAGCUUGGUUUUAGGAUUUUCAAACAAAGGCGAUAACUUUCAACUUUUAAAUAUUGAUUUAUGAAUUUUUCAGCAGUAAAAAUAUUAUUUUUAUGCUCAGAUUUUCUGUUGAACACUAAAGCUCAAAGAUUUUGUGAUUUUCCUUAGCAUUAAAGCUCACCUAAGGUAAAGAUGAAAGAUUUAUGGGUUUCUAAGUGUGGGUUUUAGCUAGAAAAUUAAUUUAGUUAAAAGUGAGUAGUUUUGAAAGUACCUAGAAUGAUUAUUACAUGAUUCUUAUUCUAGGAAAUGAUUGUAAUGAAUGUUGUGUGACAGGAACACGUGAAAACUCCACGAAUUUCAUAGCAACCAGUCUCGCGGAUACCAAUGUCCUAUCUUCAUUCUUUGGUAGGUGUCUAGUAACCACUUGAUGCCUAAAGGGUUGGUCACGUUCCAUUGACGAGUCGAUCUUGUAGUUUAUGUUUGUGUUUACAGACUAUGAACGCGUUUAUGUUAACAUUGCCAAUGUUGGGCAUUUAUAUUGAUAAUGUUAUGUAUGAGAUUAUGAUGACGGCUCGAGAGCCUACAUGGACAUUCAAGGGUGUUGUUGAUAGCAAAUGUUAACGUGCACUAUGAUAAUGGCACUUUUCAUAUGUAUAUGUAUACCAAAUGCUUCAGCUCAUACAAUUAAGUUGAGAUUGUAUAAUGAGUUUUAUGAAUGUAUGUAUUAUGAUUAUGUACGUUAAUAGAUGUUAUAUGAUGUUUUCGCAUGUGAUGAUGAAUGUUUGAUGAUGUUAUGAUAAGAGAUUUACUUGGGCGUAACGGGUUAUGCUCAUCUAGGUCCAUGCAUCGAUCAUGAUCCCUCCAGGAAAUAGGAUGUGAUAAGAAGAAUUGAAUCUCUGUGCUUCAUAAUUUAAAGCAGUGAAAAGAGUGUUAGGAAAUAGAUAAAAAACUAUCACGUCAUCAUUAACAGAUCAUCACAUUCAAUGCUACAUCAACAAGAAAAUGCCAUGUCUAUAUAAACAACAGAAAAAUUUUAAUACUAUUAACAAUUGGGUUGACAUUGUGUAAGAGAUAAAAUUUAUUUUUAAUUUAAUUUUACUCUUAGUAAACAUAUCAAUAGUUACUGAGUUUAGUUACUGAUAACUGGUAUUUGACAAUUUAGUCCUUGUAUUUUUCUUACAUGGGCAACUUUUACUAGCCUAUAUAAAAGUUGGUUUGUGUAUUGAAUUUGUUUGAGUUGAGUAAUAAAGAAAAAUUCCUAAACAUGCUCUUUCGUUUUCUCUUUAGGUUUCCAAAUUCUUCUUGAAAUUUCUUGUUCACUCACAAGAUAUUAGAGCCCAAAACCUAGGGUUCUUGAUCAAGUUUCUUGAUUUCUUGUUUGGUUGGUCUUAAUUUCUUCAUUGCAUUCAAGAUUUUUAUUCAAUUACUGUUAGUUUAGUUGAAAACAUGGUGAAUCCAAUAAGUACACACACAGCUCCUUUGCCACUUGAGGAUCUUCAAUUGCCUCAUUUUCUCCACCAAAGUUUACUUUCAUGAACUACUCAUCUUGGAACAGGUCAAUUACUUUGGCUUUAUCAAUUCGUAAUAAACUAGGAUUUAUAGAUGGAUCGAUUAAAAAACAUGUUGUUACUAAUAGCCUUUAAAUGCCUUAGAUGUGUUGUAAUAAUUUGAUUGUGGCUUGGUUACUUGAAUUUGUUACUCUUGCCAUAGCUUCUACUGUUUUUUAUCAAGACACAACUGUUGAAAUAUGGGACACUCUUAAGCAUAAGUUCUCACAGCCUAAUGAUGUGAGAAUCUGUAAUCUUCAAUAUACUCUUAAUGGAAUUAUGCAAGGAAAUAGAUUAAUGGACUUUUAUUUUACAAAUUUGAAUUUUGUUUGGGAAGAGCUUAGGACUUUAGGCCUAUGCUGAAUUGUAGUUAUGGAGGAUUUAAGGAUUUUGUUGAACAGAAUGCUAAAGAUCAUGUGUUUAGGUUCUUUAAUGGAUUAAAUGAGAUUUUCACUAUUAAGAUCUUAGAUAAUCAUAAUGAAACCAUUUCCUACUUUAGACGAGGCUUAUAACCUAGUUCUUAGGAAGGAAAAUCAAAGAAAUAUAUGAUAUGCAAUUUCAGUUACCUGUCAAAUAUGCUGCUAUGAGCACUAUUAAUGAUAUGAAGCCUAAGGCUAGAUCUGAUCUGGUUUGUUCACAUUACAGAAAGAAAGGGCAUCAAAAGGAGAAAUGUUAUCAUUUAAUUAGAUUUUUUGCUAACUACAAAUUUACUAAGAAUAAGAACAAUAUCAAAAAAGGCUUUACAGAUUCUGCUGAUAAUGUCAUUACACAAUCUACUAGUGUUGAAGAUGAAGUGAUAGAUAAUCUUAUGUCUCAACUUAGUCUUUCAAAGGAUCAAAUACACAAACUUCUAUCAUUCAUCAAUAAGCAAGACCCUAAUGGUGAGAAUAAUAAUGUUUCACUAGUUAAUCAGGCUACCAAAAACAUGAUGGUAAAUUCUGCUCAAACUAGUAUGUUUCCUAAUUCUACCCUCUUAAUAGCUCAAAGUUUGAAUUCUUAUUCAUAUCUCCUUUCGAAUUAUAAUAGAAGUAAAGACUAUUCAUAAUUUGAUAACGAUGUCUGUAUAGUUGAUACUGGUGUUAUUGACCAUAUUGUUUGUAAUAUGAAAAUUUUUACUACAUUUACAAAGGUUUUUAGUAUGACAGUUCAAUUAUCAAGCAAAACUUAUGUUUCUGUUUCACAUAUAGGCAUUGUACAAAUAAGAUAUUUGAUUUUGCUCAAUGUUUUGUGUGUGCCAAAUUUUAGCUACAAUCUUGUUUCAAUCAAUACACUUGCCAAAAGCACAAAAUAUCAUUUGGUUUUUUCUGAUUUAUACUACAUCAUACAUGACCUAGUUACAUGGAAAGUGAUUAAGGGUGUUAAAGUCACUUAUGGACUAUAUCUCCUAAAAAGGAAGAUGGAUGCACAGUUACUUGAUCAAUUUCAAAAAGACAAAAAUAAGUUGUUUCCACAAUCUCAAAAGGACAACAAUAACAAUGUUGUGUUUUCUUUUGUAAAUAGUUGUGGUGUUUUGACCAAAACUUUUGAUUUUUGGCACCAUAGAUUAGGGCAUACUCCAUCUAGCAAAAUAAAUCAGAUUCAUCAAUUAUUCAUUGAUAUAUUUUCUAAGAACAAUCUUCUGUUUGAUAUUUUUCCUUUUACUAAAUUACCUUUUCCAAUUCAUGAAUUUAAUACCACUUUAGCUUUUGAAAUUGUAGAUGCUGAUAUAUGGGGACCUUAUACAAUCCCUACAAUUUCAGGUUAUCAUUUUUUUCUUACUAUUAUGAAUGAUUACUCAAGGUUUACAUGGAUUUUUUUGUCGAAACAUAAAUAUGACGUUUCAAUUGUUUUUCCUUCUUUUUACAGUAUGAUUUUUAGUCAAUUUCAAACCUUAAUAAAACAUAUUCAAUCUGAUAAUGGUACUGAGUUCAAACUAGUUGAUUUUUUUGCUUCCAAAGGAAUUGUGCAUCAACUAUCUUGUGUAAACAUAACUCAACAAAAUGGGAUUGUAGAAAGAAAACAUCAACAUUUAUUAGUUGUUACUAGGGCACUAUUAUUUUAGUCUGCACUUCCAUCACAGUUUUGGGGAGCUACAGUUUAGCUGUAGCACACAUUAUAUAUCAUAUACCUUUUCCUGUUUUGCAUAACAAAUUACCUUUUAAAGUUUUGUUUAAAAAACCACCAAUCUAUUCGCAUCUUAAGGUUUUUGGCUCACUCUGUUUUGCAUUCAAUCCCACACAACACAAAAAAAAGUUGGAUCCAAGAGCACAAAAGUGUGUUAUUAUAGGCUACCCACUUGAUACCAAAGGUUACAAGCUUGAUGAUUUAGUUUCACAAAGUAUCUUUAUAUCUAGGAAUGUUAUUUUUAAUCAACAAGUCUUUCCUUUCAAGUUAAUCUUAUCAACUUCUAAUUCUGAUUCCGUUGAUACUUCUAUUCACAUACCUACACAUAUUCCAUUUAGUCCUGUUAAUGAUAUUCAUGAUUUUCAUAAUUCCAAUCAUAAUAAUUCAACUUCAGAUUUUUUUUUCUCAAUUUUCCUCUGUUGAUUCUAUUUAUGAUAGUUAUUCUUCCAAUUUUGCCCUUAAGAUUUCCAUCUCCAAUUCACUUGAUAAUUUUGAUUCUUUCAUUUUACCUGACACAUCUUCAUCACCUCUUUUUAGAAAAAGUACUAUAGAAAGACAUGUUCCUAAAUAUCUUAAGGCAUACCAUCAUACUUUUUCUUUUCACACUAGUAUAGUUACCAAACAUCUUAUCACCAAUUUUUUGUACUAAUCAACUUUCUUCUAACCAUAAAGCUUUUUCCUCAUCAUUAUCUGAUAUUUUAGAACCUUAUCGUUAUUUUCAAGCUGUAAAGCAUGCUCAUUGGAGAGAGGCUAUGCAAAGUGAGUUAAAUGCCUUAGAACUAAUGGGACUUGGACUGUCAUGUCUUUACCUUCCAACUCUCAUGCAAUUAGGUGUAAGUGGGUUUACAAUGUUAAACUACAUGCUGAUGGUAGUGUUGAGUGAUAUAAAGCAAGGUUCGUGGCUAAGGGGUAUAAUCAAAGAGUUGGUUUUGAUUACUAAGAAAUAUUCAGCCUUGUAGCUAAACACACAAUAGUAAGACUUUUCCUAACUUUAGCUACCAUUAAAGGAUGGCAUCUUAUACAACUUAACAUCAACAAUGCUUUUUUUAAUGGUGACUUAAAUGAGACUGUUUAUACGAAAUUACCCAAGGAUAUCAAGUUAAGGGGGAGUGUCCACCUAUUAGUCAACCAGUUUGCAAAUUACCUAAGUCUUUGUAUGGCCUUAAACAAGCAUCUUGACAAUGGAAUUCAAAGUUCAGCAAUUGUUUAGUUGAGUAUGGUUUUCAACACUCCAAAGCUGAUUAUUCUUUGUUUACUUAAUGUACAGACAAUGGGGAAUUUGUUGCACUGUUAGUGUAUGUGGAUGAUACUGUGAUUGGUAGUUCUUCUAUGCAGCUUAGUAAUGCAGUUAAGGAGUACUUAAGUUUUAAAUUUAAACUUAAAGACUUAGGGAAACUUAAAUAUUUCUUUGGUUUGGAAAUGGUAAGGUUUCGUAAAGAAAUAUUUGUUUGCCCAAGGAAGUAUACCUUAUAUCUAUUGGAUGAAUAAGAACUAUUAGGUGCUAAACUAGUGAUCACACCUAUUGAUUACAAUCAUAAGAUGUCCUGGGGAAAAGAAAAGGAUCAGCUGAGAGAUAACACUAAAUAUAGGGAACUGAUAAGAGAGCUUUUGUGCUUAACUUUCACUAAACCAAACAUUUCCUAUGAUGUCCAUGUUCUUUCACAAUACAUGGACAAGCCAAGUGACAAUCAUCUACAACUUGGGUUUUUGAGUUUUAAAGUAUUUGAAGAAUGCACUUGGCCAAAGAGUGUUGCUUUCUACAAUUUUUGAUAUGAUUUUACAACUCUAUAGUGACAGUGAUUGGGCUGGUUGUCCACAUUCUAGGAGGUCGAUUAUGGGAAAUGGUAUUUUACUUGGUAAGUCUUUUAUUAGCUAUAAGGCAAAGAAGCAAAGUGUAGUGGCUAGAAGCUUUACUCAGGUUGAGUAUAAAGCAAUGUUAACAACCUAUUGCGAGGUCAUGUGGUUGCUAUUUAUACUAAAAAAUUUUCGUAUUGAUCAUCUUAGUGCAGUCAAGUUGUUGUGUGAUAAUCAGUCUGCUCUUCAUAUUUGCAAAAAUCCUACAUUUCAUGAGUGCACCAAACACAUAGAGAUGGAUUGUCACUUCAUUCGAGAGAGUGUUGCAGAUGGUCUUAUGGCUCCAUGUUAUGUGCCUACCAAAUUGCAGCUGGCUGAUUUGUUCACCAAGGCACUACAACCAGGCUCUUUUCAUUUAUUUCUUAGCAAGAUGAGUGUUAUUAACAUACAUACUCAUCUUGAGGGAGAGUGUAAAAGAUAAAAGUUACUUUUUAAUAUAAUUUUACUCUUAGUAAAUAUGUAAAUAGUUAUUGAGUUUUGUUACUGUUAGUUACUGAUAGCUGGUACUUUACAAUUUAGUCCUUGUGUUUUUCUUACAUUAUCAAUUUCUACUAGCCUAUAUAAAGGUUGAUUCGUGUAUUGAAUAUUUUUUUUUACUCGUGCAAUAAAGAAAAAUUCCCAAACAUGCACUCUAGUCUUCUCCUUAGGUUUCUAGAUAUUUCUUGAAAUUUCUUGUUCACUGACACAUUGUCAAUUUUAAAAAGUAAAGAGACUCAAUUUUUAUAAGUUAUUAUAUAGAAAUUAGAUCUACCACUUGCUAGAAUCCAUUGACUAAUUAUAUAAUGUAGCCACCAUUAUUCAAUGGAGGCUUUGUACUCCUAGGUUCAAUCUCUUUAUUUUGUGGAACCUUCAUUUGAUCUUUCGAUCUUCAGUCAAGUAUUUACUUAUUUUUCUUAUUUUAAGCAUCAUAAUUGUAUGAUGGAUUGCAUAUUGUCCUAGUUAAAAACGCUCAUAUAAAAUAUAAAAAGAUUCUAUUGAAUUUAUGCGGUCUUUCUUUGGUCUAUAAAAUCUUGUCGUUACCUUCUGGUUGUAGUAAAAUGUACAAAUUGCAUUAUUAUUCACCAUGAAAUGAUUAAGAAAUGUACAACUGUGUUGUGCGGCAGCUCGAUAGGCAGCUGGCCUGUGGUUCACUACAAUAAAAGGAAAAAAACAUGAUAAAAAGCCAAACUAAAGUUUGGUCUGCUCAUUUUGAUCCCAAAGUUAAGAAGAGAAAAGAACAAAGCGAAGAGGUCUAUGUCCAACACUAUUGUGGUAAAAGAGACACUGAUAGUUGGAUGACUUUACCGACAUGGAAGGAGGCUUUGGCUUUAAUGUUUUUACAUCGUGGAAAAAGUUGAGAGGAACCAACUGCAAGGGCAAGAGGAAUUGUGGGGCGGGGGGGGGGGGGGGGGGGGGGUUGGGGGUGGAAGAGAUCUGACCCACUACCUGUCAAUGUGUUGGAACAUCCAUAGGCAGUUUAGAAAGGAGAAAAAAAAUCAAAGUUGCUUUUGUUCUUUCCUUGCUUAGUCUUUAUAUUUCUUCAAUUUACCUAAAUUCUCAUUAAUUCUUCUAAUUAGUAGCAUUGAUCCACUUGCAUGCUUCUCUUCCUCCUUUUCCAUCUACUUGCUUUUGCUAGAGAUCAUUAUCAUGCACUUAAUAUUCAUAAAAUAACUAUGUAUCUAUCUAUGUCUCAUGCAUUUUCAAUCCUAUUUGGUCAAAGUAACCAACAUACAUAGUCAAGAAUGAAAGAAAGUAGAAUCUAAAGUGCCAUAAAAUUCAAGUUGACCUUGACCAUUGGCCAAUAGGAUUGGCAAUAUAUGAGAGGCAAAUAAAAAUUCUAUGACCAUUCUUCUUGAAAGAGAUAUCCUAUCAUGCAAUCAAUAAUUUUUGUUCUGUGUCAUGCAGCUUCAACAGUAGUGCACGUACGUAUGGCUUUAUAAGUUUAUAAACAAUGGAUUUUCUCUCUCUCUCUCUCUUUCUCUUAUAUCUCAAAGAUCAACAUCGAGAGAGACACACGGUGAUCGAAAAAGGUGACAAAUUAGAAAUAAAUUUAAAAUCACAAGUAGCAGCUAAUCGAAUCUUAAAUUUAGAAUCUAUUUGACCGAAUUGAAGUUCUUAUAAAAAUGUUGUCUGAAUAGAACUAUUCAAAUUUUGGAGAGCUAAAUACUUCUACUUAUUUCAAUAAAGAAAAUGUUUUCUAUGAGUCUGAACAAACAUCCAUUUAAUGUCUUAACAAAGAAAUAAGAGCCUAAGCAUGGAUGGAAAGAAGGUCUGUUGCAUUAUUGCAAAGAAAGAACACCAUUUUAGUGGGUGAUCUGCUUCGUUUUCCUCUCCAAAACUCAAGGAGCAAUGAAGGGUUCUUCACGUUGUUGAUUUUGGUGCAAAUGGACAUACUUUUGCUAGUUAAGUAACACCCUUUUAUAGAAGACUACCUUCCAUAUAUUUAUUAAGUAGAUUCAUGUCAUAUCUAGCUAGGUCGUGGCACUCUAAUGAUUCAUGUCAUUUAUUUUUUACCCCUGUUCACUUUUCUUUGGUUAGUGCACUAAAUAUCUUCAUUACUACAAUUAAUUGAACAAUUACCUCUCUAAAGAUGAGUUUCCAACUUUAACAAUCAAUAAUAUGUCCCUCCAAAGGAAUGUAUUACUAGUUCCAUACAAGAAAGUAAUUAGCAUUACCACUUUUCCUUAUAAUGUAGUCAUAAUCUUACAGUUUUAACCUAAUGGGUACAAAUUUUGGGUGUCAUAUGUUUCAUUUUGUUUUUACAAUUGUUGGAAUAUUCAAUUCAAAACCAAGCAAAAAAAAUCUAUUUUCAUUAGUUGAUAAAGAAAACCCAUUCAACAACCAAUCAUGCAUCAUUCUUUUUCCAUCAUUUUGAUGAUUAUUUAAGUUAAAAGUUCUUAGUCAUAAGACUAGGUAGCCUUUCCAACCCAACAAAAGCCUUAGUACCCCUCCAUGCAUAAAAAAUUUUUGUUGCCUUGCAAAGAUCCAAAUUUACUAAAGGUUCUUUUAUUUUCCACCUUCUCUUCCACUUAAUAUGUAGUCUGUCUGUUUUUUGAAGGGAAAAGAAAGGUCACAAAAUGCGGUGAGGUGACAUACCUUUAAGCAAAGCAAAGCACUUGUUUUCUCCCAUUGCGUACUUGAAAAAUGUUUUUUGUAUAAAAUUUCCCUUGACCAAAAGGCCUUCAAUUAUUGAAUUUACAAAAAAAAAAAAGCAUCACAUUCGAAAAAGGUUUUUGGUCAAAGAUCCAUUUAUCUCCUCUCAAAUGAAUCUCCUUAAACCAAUCAUGCAUUUGCCUUUACAGCUUUUAAUUCUUUGUAUGAUUUAAUUUGGCUCAUAAAAUAAUGAUGAUUAAAAUAGAGAAUGCAAAGUAUAUAUAUAAAUAUGAAAAAGAAAUACAUUUGCCUUUCCAUCAAAGGUAUUUGUAAUUUUCAUGGUCCAAAGAAAGUUAACAAACAGCAUUCAUUUAUUAUAUAAUAAUAUUUGAAAGGGAGCCUUUAGUCACAUAAUUAAACCAACCAAAUUCACCACUUUCCAGCUUGAGUACUAUAGAGAGAUCCUGUGAUUGAUUAAGUAUUCAAAAAAUAAUUACGUAAUUAAAAAUUUCAAAAAAAUAAAAAUCGAUUAAGUCUAGAAAAGCACCAACUUUUGUAUUUUUUUUUCUUUUUCCCAUUAUGUCGACCCGAUUGAAAUACACACAUUAUAAGAUCUUGAUUAACAUUAUCACUAUUGCUUUUGAUCCUUUAAUAUCUUUGUCAUCAAAAAGAUUCAAAAAAGCAAAUAUUGUAGUAACACUCAAUCGCACGUAAUAUUGUAUUGUAUCUCACUCUGCGAAAUAUUAAAUCUCUAAGCAUAAAACUAGGCUGGUCCAUAUGAACCCUAGAACAUGUGUCUCUUCAUGCCAAGAUUAGGACCUAGCUAUAUAUGAGCAUGCUAUAGUUUAAGAUAUUAAAUAUUAAUAAUAAAUUUAGUGAUAAUCAUAAAGAAAUUUUGUGUGAAGAAAUUUCCUGAAUUGGUUAGGGCUGACUACCUACUUUGACAGUGGCGUUGUUCUAAAGAACCAGUGCACUCCCUUUUUUUUUUUUUUUUGCGCAAAACGGGCUGCUGAGUGGUUUACUGUUGGCUAACUUAGAAAUUUUGGUAGAUUAACGUAUUAAAUCUGGGUUUUGUCCACACGCCUUGUGCUCGUGUCGGUUGGUGAAAGAAACAACCUAACAAUUGCUAGCUGUAAUAUUUUAGCUAAUCAGAGAGCAUCCCCUUCAUUUCCUUUUCUUUUUUGUGAUGUUAGAAAUUAUAAGAUUAUUCCUAGUUUUUCAUUGAUUAUUACAAGCUUUUGUCAAAAAUUUCUUUAGACAUUAAUUCAAGUCUUCGUCACCAUAGUUAUUAUGGGCACUCAUACUGGUUGUUGACAGGAAUUAACCCUGGUUGUUGAGUACUAAAUUUGUGGUUUAUAGUGGGUAUUAAUUGUAUAGGUAAACGGGUUAUAAAGAAAUACAUCUAUCCUCAGAAGCCAAGGAUUUAUAUUUGUGUAAUAAUAGAUGCUUUCCCAAAAGAAAAGACGAAGGGCCAACCAACUACCUGGCUUGGGUUCCAGAGGCCCAUCAUUACAAAAAAAUUUUAAAUUGAAAAUUGAGUCUAAGCCAGAAGUGGCACAGAUAGGCCCAUCUUGGACCAAAAGGGUAGAAAGCGAAAUUGAAGAGACAAUGUUAUAUAUUUAAAUUAUAACAGGUAAUAAUUUGCACAUAAUGUUAUAUAUUUGUUAUUGUUUUCAGGUUGAGGUUCAUGUUGAAAGAUUGAAUGUACUGAAGGCUAGUAAAAUGAAGGAGUUGGUAUUUAAGAGGCAAAAUGAACUUGAGGAAAUCUACAGAGGAGUUCAUAUGGAUGUAAACAGUGAUGCAGCACGGCAACUUCUUAUCAAUCUCAUAGAAUCUGGUUCUGCCAAAUUAUCUCCUUGUUCUGGAUUAUCUAUAUCUUCGUGAAACUAUUUAUUGUAUCUUUGUUUUCAUUUCUAUAAACAUACCUUUCUUUUUCAUAUUAUGUACUGAUUUUCAUUUAUAGUGUCACAUUUUGCCUUACAUAAUAACAACACAAUGAGGUGUAUGCUUGUUUGCAUGUUCUCUGUUAUCUGCUUCUCCUUUAGGAAUAUUCAUUUCCUUUCUAAAAUUUCUUUUUAUUUUUUUAUUAUUUUGUAUGAUUCUUUUUUGGAGCUUGUGAUGCAUCAUUUAAUUUAAUGCAAAAUGUGGUUUUGCUGCAUAGAUGUCCUUGUUUCAUCUCAUAUUGAUUUCUGUUCCCUGCAUCACAUUUUGACUUACAUUUACAUUUUGUAGCUUUUUAUGUGGCCAUUCAAUUUAACUACAAAAACAGUUUGCUAUUAACAUGUCCUUCUUCUCUCACAUAUUAAUUUGCUUUAGCAAAGUCAUAUUUCUAUUCAAUGGCAUGUUAUUUGCAUCUCAACUACUAUGUGCAUCAUUAUUGGAAUAUUUAGUUCUGUCCCUCUUUCUAGUCAUCAUACUAACUUUUUAAUAUUUUGUGUAUCUUGUCUCUGUAGCAUACUAUGCAACCUCUUAAUUUUGAUUAUGUAUAUGCAUCUCUAAGGACCUUUCUCUCAAUAAUUAUAGCUUUGCAAAACCUAGUAUGUUUUGGACAAUUAGAAUACAUGCACUAUGCUUUCUAACUGCUAGUUUACAUGAGUUAUGCAUGGGUUUUAUUUUGUCAUCUAUUAUCUCAUGAUACCCUGUUCCAGGUUAUGAAAUCCUUUUUUGCGGUGAACAUUCUUAACAAAUCUGCAACAAUGCAAUCUGCAUACAAUUCUUGACGUGAAAUUGUUGUUAAAAUGUUAUGUGUUUCAACACGCCUCUUCAGGUGAUGUUGAUCUGUCCAAUCUGCUUUCAAGCAUGGAUGAUGAGAUUACAAAAGCCAAACAGGAAGCUUUAAGCCGGAAGGAUAUUUUGGACAAGGUAGAGAAAUGGAAACAUGCAUCUGAGGAGGAAAAAUGGCUUGAUGACUAUGAAAAGGUGAAUCUUAUUUGAGAAGCUAUCAGAAUAUUUUGUGCUGUGUUCUGUGUUACAUAGGAAUAUUUAUUCAGAGAUCCUUAGGGUUGACUCUUGCACUUCACAAAGAUGCUCUAAAAUGUAAUCCUUAUGUUAAUUUGCUAAGAUCUCUAAAUUGUAGCAGUUUUAUACAAUAUGUGUACUUAGUUUCACUUUUUCUUUUUGAAAUCAAGAUCACUGUUAAGCUGUUAUGAUCUAGAGAGGGAUGCCUCCAUAUUUCAUAAAAUUUUUCUGGUGCUCCUAAGUUAUAUACUAUUUCUUGAGGUCAUACACACUAUUGACUAGUUUGAUGUUAAUUAUAUUUGCAGGAAUUAUAUUUUUGCAUAUUAAUGACUCCCCACUAAUUUGGCCAAAAAGAAAAAUGGAAACUCCCUACUAAUACUGUAUGAAAGAUAAAACUUUUUAUAGUGCCAUAGCAAUCUCAAAUUUAAAUCAAAUCAUAUUCAUGAGACAACUGAACCAGUUAAUAGGAUCAGCCUUAUUUCUCCUACCCCAUUGCUUUAGCCAGUGAAAUGUUUUGGAUAGUUCGGUUAUAUAGUAAACUUCUUAAAGAAGGUUGAAGUUAUUGAUGUACUGUUUGCAGCUACAACUCUCAUGGAGCUUAUCUUAUUUGAAGAAAGUAGUUUACAAAGUUUCACAGUAUAAGAUGUUGAUCUGAAAAGAUAAACAAAACGCAUGAGAAACAAUUCUAAACAAUAAAAAAAAUGAUAAAAACAAUGAAGCUCGUAUGCAUAACUAGUGAUAUGAAGAAUGCAGCUUAGUUACAACUGGCAAACCCGGGGCAGAGCUAGCCAAUUUUUAUUGAGGAGGCUAAAAACUAGGAAUAAAAGUUAAAAAUUUUUAAAAUUAAUAUGUUGAAUUUAAUUAAUAAUUAAAAGAUUUAUAAUAGACAAUAAUUUUAUAUAACAUGUUAAUCAAAAGAAACAAAAAUAAAAAAACUUAUAAUAGUGCUUUAGAAAAGUUUUGUUCGACGAUAAUAAUAUAUUUUUCAAUAUAAACAAUUAAAUUAUUUGUAAGAAACUUAUCAUCUAUUUUGUUUUAAAGUCUUGUUUUUCUCAAUAUAAACGAUUAAAAAUUAAUAUAGUCACAUCCAAUAUUUUUAUUUUAUUAUAUUUAAGUUUAUAAUACUAAAUAUUAAACUAUCAUGCAUAAAAUAUAAAUAGUUAAAAACGAUAUAUAAGAUUAAUNUAAUAAUUUAUUUUUAAAUAUUAAAAUCAUAAAAGAUAAAAUUCACAUAACAAAAAAAAAAAAUCAUGAUAAGUAAAAGAUAUAACCUAUAUAACAAAAAAAAAAAAAAAAUUAUGGUUGAUGAUUCGUAGAAAUUUAAAAAAAAAUCUAUAAAAACUUAAAACAUAUAGAAAUAGAAUAAAAUGAAAUAAAUAAUAAAAUUAAAUAUUAAUAAUAAUAUAAAUAGAAAAAAUUAAAUAAAAACUUUACUUCUUUAUAAUUUCACAAUACAAGAAUAGAAAAGAAGAGAGGGAAAGAUGGGUGAAGAAACUUAAAAAAUUAAAAAAAAAUUAAAUUUUUUUUUUUUUUUUUUUUUUUUUUUUUUUUUUUUUAUUUUUUUUAAUUUAUUAAUUAUUCAAUAAAAAAUUACUUUGAAAAAUUAUUAAAAAAUAUAUAAUAUAUGCAAAAUUUCAAAAAUCUUGGGAGGGCCAUGGCCCCCCAUUACAAAGGGACGCUCCACCCUUGGGCAAACCCUCAGUUGGUUUUUUUUUUUAAUUGAAAGAAAAGAAUUCGAACCUUACUAUUUAUGUUAGGGAUCAUACACAAAUUAAUUAGCUAAAUGUUCGGAUGUCAACAAACCCUUAACUGGUUGGCAUCUAAAAUGUUCAAUUCGAUUUAGACAACAUUAUUUACGAAUUGAAGAGUGUGGCUUGAAUUAGGACAAUUUGAUAAGAGUAUGGCUUGAUUUCGGACAACAUUUAAAGUAAAUGCCUGAAUAGGGUAACACUCUAGAAUGAAGCAAGGGGAGUGUAGUUCGGACACUAAUGAAGUAUUUGCGAACAACAUUAAUAUAUCCAAAUAUCUCAAAAUUUGGAUAUUUAGUUAAUGGGGUUUUUACUUUAUUUGUAUUUGUACUCGUGAAGCUUAAAUUUUAUUUUAAUUUUGACACCAACCAAUAAAAUGCGUACUUUUCAAAAAAAAAAAAAAAUAACCGUUACCAAUUAUUAUUCAAGGAGGAAGGUUUGGGUCUUAAUUUUUAUUCUAUACUAGACAAAACAGAACUUCCUUGACCAAAUUUGCCUUCAAUUGGGUGCAUGAAGCAAUGGGAAGAGAUUCUUGUGAUAAGAGACGUGGGUGUCGAUGGCUCCUUAAUCUGAAAUGACAUAAGCAAGAUGGGGGGAUUGAUGAGAAAUGAGAAUAGAAUUUAAAGAACGAAGAUGCUAAUUAACUUUGAUUGUUGUCAACAGUUUGGCAGAUGGGAGGCAGACUUCUUUGGAAUAUAUAACAUCAUACAUGCAGGUGGGGCUAUAUAUGUCAACUAGCUCAUAAAUUCCCUUACAAGCAAUACCAGCAAAUCCAUAAAAUUAGGUAUCUCAAAGGGAUCAUAUCUCUAAUGAAGAUGACUUGCACAUAAGCUAGAUUAUUGUUUUUUUCUUUUUUAUUAGAGGAAUAAAGAUUCGAGCUUAGUUUCUUUGAAUAGGGAUAUACGUAUUCACCGUUAAAUCAAUUGUUCGGGAUGUUUUAUAAUGUAAGUAGAUCAUCUUAAAUAAAUAGAGAUGUGAAUAUCUAAAAUCAAACUAUGUAUUUUACGUUACAUACACAAGACUAUUUUUGUGAAAAAAUAUAUAUAUUUGCAAUGAUAUAAAUCGCUGUGAAGUGUUGCGAAAAGUGUUUGUAAUUAAUUGGCAUAAUAUUUUAAAAUUUUCUUGAACUAUUAGAGAAAAUUUAAAUAAGUUUUUAUUUUUUUAUUGUGUUCAAUCAAACCCCUAUACUUGUAUUUUGAAUUAAAUAGGCACUUGUAACUAACGGUUCAUUAAGUACUGUUAGUUGAAACGUCACUUCUCAUUUUUUAUGUCCAUGUGGCACUGAUAUGGCAUUGAUGUGUAGGUUGAAAAAUAUUAUAUAACUAUAUCAUCAUGCUAUAUUAGUGCAUGACAUGUCAUCAUCCAUGAUAACAUGUCAGCAUACCAAUAUCAUGUGGUAUAAAAUGAUAUAUAAGAGCCUAUUUGAUUAACAAUAAUUAGUUAAUCAUUACUUGUAAAAGCUUAUUUGAUUCAAAAUAAAAAAAAUAAAGAUUUGAUUGAACGUAAUAAAAAAAUAAAUAUUUAUUUAAAAUUUUCUAAAUAAUUCAUGAAUUUUUUAAUGCAUUGUACCUAAUUGAUUCUAUUAUUCAUCACCUGUUUUGCAAGUCAUUAUAAAAUUUCUUAAUGAAAUUCUUUGUUAAAAACAUGUUAAUGUCCCUAAGGCCUAAAUAAGAGGUGUUCACAAUAAUACAUAUUUUGUUAAAAGGCUAGGUGGGCAAUGGGGACUUUUAAGUUAAUGCUACUCAAUCUGCCUAUGGAACUUUGAAGAUUGAAGCCUUAGAAUUUUUUACAAACUGGCAGAUAACUCAACUACGCCACCACCGCAAUUGCAACAAGCAAUUCUCUAAAAUGUCUGUGAUUAGUGCAAAUUUGUAAGGACAAGAAUUCAGUGUAAAGGAGUAUCCUUGAUACCGUAUGACAGAAACCCAAUAUUCCAUAGAAUAUAAUGAGUGUGAGUGAUUUAACUUAUCAGCAGCCACCUGAAUUCUGUAUGCUUAUCAUUCCAAUAAGUUGGAGGGGAGAAGGAACACCAAGAAAGUUGACAACAACUGAACCCAAAUUGUAUCUGUCUGUCUGCUAUUUGAUAACACGGGUGCAUUUUAUCUAGUAGCUUGGAUGUGAUUUUUGAUUAGAAAAUGAAUGGAAGCAUCAGAUUCAAAAACAAAAGAUGCAACUGAGAUUCUUGGAACAAUUUCUGCCAUUUCCAUGGCCUCAACUAGCACAGGGAAAAAAAAAAAAGGGUCAACCACUAGCACACCUUAGUGGAAUCUGAAUCAGACGUCAGCAAUUCUACUAUGUGUGUACUCACAUGAAGCAAAUUCCCAAACCAAAAAGAUUGUUUCAUUUGAGACCAAAUUCUGAGAAACAAAGAAAAAGAGAUUCUGGGAUUCUCUCAUUUUCAUUCAGUACAAGGGUCCUUAACAGCAUUAGCUUACAGCAUUACUUUAUAAUACCGAAACAUUAAAAAAAGAAGAAGGAAAAGCCCCAUAUAUGACAUAUGUCUAACACCUUUUAAAAAUGAUAGAAACAAAAUGGGGAUGUAAAGACAAAAAACCCCAUCCCUUAAUGGUAGAACUAAACUUUGAACGAUGUUUGGUCUUGGUUGGCUUUCAUGGGGGAUUCUGGCACGGGCAUGGCAAUGGCAACUGCUGACAGCUUGUUUGCUUCUGCUAAUUUUUUAAAUUCAACUUCAUUGGCUUCUAUAUCUUCAAUUACUAGGAUUGUGUUGCCAUUUGCUUGGAUCUUAACUGGUUCAGGGAUCUCUUCCUCAUUGACCUCUUUCUCCUUGUUUUCCUUGUGCUUUCCCCAGAGGACUGAAUAAAGCCCUAUAACUAUCCAGAUUGCUCCUAUCACCCUGCAAAUUAAUCCACAAGGGGAUUUGAUUAAUUCCUAUGCGAUUCAUUAAAACCAAAUCAAUUCAUGCAAGUGAUUCUUUUUUAUUUUUAUAUGUUAUAAGAAAAAAAAAAAGAGAAGUGAUGCUUGAUGAAAUAUUCAAUUGUCAGUGGUUGUCACUCUAUGAAAUAGAAGUACAAAAUUGUAUCUAAUGAUUAAGGAUGGUACAAGUGGGGGAUACAACAAAUUAGAAUAAGUGCAAAACCGGCUAUACAAGGAUAUGUAAGAAAGGAUACAUGCAUGCAUGCAGAAAAAUGUAACAGUGAGUGAAGGAGAAAUUAAAAUUUACCCUCCAAGAAAAAUCUUCUCUGCCAGGAUGAAAGACCCCAUGAUUGCAACUAUGAUCAUCAUCAGAGGGCUGAAAGCAGUGGCAAAUACUGGACCUCUUUUCUUUAUCACCAUUCCUUGAACAUAGUAUGAUAUGCUUGAUGUGACAAUUCCCUGUAAACAUUAAAAAAUUAGAAUAGAGACAACACACAAAAGCCACUUUUUUUAUAUGUUUAUAUAGGACUAGAAACAGAGAGAACAGAGAACGAGGUUUAUUACAGCAUAGGCAGCAGCAAGGAGGUUCAUGUCCCAGCCAAUUUGCCAAGCUGAGGUCUUGCGCUCCAUCACAAAUGUCACAACAAUAGCUUAUAGAGUGCCCACAAAGCACACUAGUGAUGUGAGAGAAAGAUGAUGAUUCUUGUAUGUCUUCAAUGCUUUUGCCUGGUAAUGAUAACAAUUAAACAGUGAAGUUAGUUAAUUUGUUGGGGAGGAGGGUGGGGCGGUGUUCUUGUUUUCUAAAAUUUUGCUGUUUAAUUACCUGUAAGACAAAGAGGGAAGCCCAGGCGAGGGUGGCAAUGAUAAGGAGGAUGGAGCCUUUGACCCAAUCUUUGUCAGUAGUUCCAGCAGUGUCAGUGCCGGUCGACUGCCUAGGAUGGAUACUCUUAGUCCAAAACAAUUCAACAAUGGGUCCUUUAUUUAAUGUCAUCAACAUUGCCCCUGCCACUGUCACCAAUGUUCCCACUAUCUUUGCCUGACACCUCACUUUCUUUACAUCAAUCUUCUCCAUCCUAUUCAUUACCAAACCAAACAAAAAUUAAAUUUGAAUCCGUUAGUCAGCCUUAACCAAAUCUACUCUGCAAAUAUGAAAAAGAAAAUCCUAGUUACUGAUCAUGAUUCAUGCGCAUACCGGCACAUAACAGCCAUGACAAAUGUCAUUGCAGGAAGGAUAUUGCUCAUAGCACAUGAGAAAGUUGGAGAUGUAUAUUUCAACCCAGCAAGUAGAAGUUCUGAUCAAUCACCGGCCUGUGUUUUUUUUUAUCAGGAAACAAUAACUUUGCUUUACUUUAAGAUUCCAGUGCAAAAUCAAUGCAUUUGAAAGAAAAGGGUUUCAGCUAAAAACUAACCCCAGAAGAGCCAGAAUGAAUAUUUGCAUGAAAACUGGGAAUGUUAUCUUUGAUUGCCCUCUCCUGAAAUGUUAAAACAUAGUUACAUUCAGCAUAUAUGUAUUUCUUGUGUGAGCUGAUCAUGUUGCUAUCUACAUAUUUCAAUGUUCUUCAAACCUUUCGAAAAUCAAAGCAAAGGGAGCUAUGACUGCAGUUGCAAAAGCAUGCCGGUAGACCACCAGGACAUAGUGGCUCAUGCCUCUGUUAAGUGAAACUUUGGUGAUAAUAUUCAUGCCCGCAUAGCCGAACUGCAAUGAAAUCAUUGCAAAGUAAGGUUUGGAGCUCUCCAGGAAGCUACCACAUCUCAACUUCUCCAUUUUUCUUAACUAUUUGGGAGAAAUUUGAUGGAAAAUUCGGAAAAGAGAGAGUUUCAGUUCUGAGAAGAAAGAGAUCUAGAGGAAAAGAGAGAGGAAGAAUUGAAC